Molecule: ribosomal RNA, 458 nt
Filed under: uncultured bacterium
Lineage: Bacteria
Description: partial 16S ribosomal RNA
Rfam family: Bacterial small subunit ribosomal RNA
Source: RNAcentral
CCUACGGGAGGCAGCAGUGAGGAAUAUUGGUCAAUGGGCGAGAGCCUGAACCAGCCAAGUCGCGUGAGGGAGUACUGCCCUAUGGGUUGUAAACCUCUUUUGUCGGGGAGCAAAAGCCGGACGUGUCCGGCUGUGAGCGUACCCGAAGAAAAAGCAUCGGCUAACUCCGUGCCAGCAGCCGCGGUAAUACGGAGGAUGCGAGCGUUAUCCGGAUUUAUUGGGGUUAAAGGGUGCGCAGGCGGAUUUUUAAGUCAGCGGUCAAAUCGUGGGGCUCAACCCCAUCCAGCCGUUGAAACUGGGGAUCUAGAGUGUGCGAGAGGUAUGCGGAAUGCGUGGUGUAGCGGUGAAAUGCAUAGAUAUCACGCAGAACCCUGAUUGCGAAGGCAGCAUACCGGUGCACAACUGACGCUCAGGCACGAAAGCGUGGGUAUCGAACAGGAUUAGAUACCCCAGUAGUC